Molecule: ribosomal RNA, 1391 nt
Filed under: metagenome
Description: bacterial SSU rRNA
Rfam family: Bacterial small subunit ribosomal RNA
Source: RNAcentral
ACUUAGAUCAUCUUGGUGGCGGACGGGUGAGUAACACGUGAGCAACCUGCCUUUGAGAGAGGGAUAGCUUCUGGAAACGGAUGGUAAUACCUCAUAACAUACAGAUACCGCAUGGUGACUGUAUCAAAGAUUUAUCACUCAAAGAUGGGCUCGCGUCUGAUUAGAUAGUUGGUGAGGUAACGGCCCACCAAGGCGACGAUCGGUAGCCGGACUGAGAGGUUGAACGGCCACAUUGGGACUGAGACACGGCCCAGACUCCUACGGGAGGCAGCGGUGGGGAAUAUUGCACAAUGGGGGAAACCCUGAUGCAGCGACGCCGCGUGGAGGAAGAAGGUCUUCGGAUUGUAAACUCCUGUUGUUGAGGAAGAUAAUGACGGUACUCAACAAGGAAGUGACGGCUAACUACGUGCCAGCAGCCGCGGUAAAACGUAGGUCACAAGCGUUGUCCGGAAUUACUGGGUGUAAAGGGAGCGCAGGCGGGCGAUCAAGUUGGAAGUGAAAUCCAUGGGCUCAACCCAUGAACUGCUUUCAAAACUGGUCGUCUUGAGUAGUGCAGAGGUAGGCGGAAUUCCCGGUGUAGCGGUGGAAUGCGUAGAUAUCGGGAGGAACACCAGUGGCGAAGGCGGCCUACUGGGCACCAACUGACGCUGAGGCUCGAAAGUGUGGGUAGCAAACAGGAUUAGAUACCCUGGUAGUCCACACCGUAAACGAUGAUUACUAGGUGUUGGGAGAUUGACCCUCUCAGUGCCGCAGUUAACACAAUAAGUAAUCCACCUGGGGAGUACGACCGCAAGGUUGAAACACAAAGGAAUUGACGGGGGCCCGCACAAGCAGUGGAGUAUGUGGUUUAAUUCGACGCAACGCGAAGAACCUUACCAAGUCUUGACAUCCCUUGACGAUGCUGGAAACAGUAUUUCUCUUCGGAGCAAGGAGACAGGUGGUGCAUGGUUGUCGUCAGCUCGUGUCGUGAGAUGUUGGGUUAAGUCCCGCAACGAGCGCAACCCUUAUGGUCAGUUACUACGCAAGAGGACUCUGGCCAGACUGCCGUUGACAAAACGGAGGAAGGUGGGGAUGACGUCAAAUCAUCAUGCCCUUUAUGACUUGGGCUACACACGUACUACAAUGGCGUUAAACAAAGAGAAGCAAGACCGCAAGGUGGAGCAAAACUCAGAAACAACGUCCCAGUUCGGACUGCAGGCUGCAACUCGCCUGCACGAAGUCGGAAUUGCUAGUAAUCGUGGAUCAGCAUGCCACGGUGAAUACGUUCCCGGGCCUUGUACACACCGCCCGUCACACCAUGAGAGCCGGGGGGACCCGAAGUCGGUAGUCUAACCGCAAGGAGGACGCCGCCGAAGGUAAAACUGGUGAUUGGGGUGAAGUCGUAACAAGGU